GCUCUUUUGGUGCUAUUCGUGCUGAUUGACCAGAGAAGAAAACGCUGCUGCUACAUCGAAGGAGAGGUUGGAGGUCGCUACCAGAGGAAUCUUGGCCAUUAAUCGCCGUCCGGUUACUCGGAGUGAUUUUGAAAAGGGUGCUGUCGGUGCAUUGGAUGGUACACUCAUACCCGCAAUCAUCGCACCAGAUGAGUCAAUGCCUUAUAGAGCUAGAGGCGGGAAGCAAUGUUACUAAAAUGUUCUAGCCAUUUGUGACUUUAAUAUGAUAUUUACAUAUGUUGUAGCUGGUAGGGAGGGGGUUGCGCUGAUGCAAGGAUUUUAAGGACCGUUGUCAUUGAGCCCAAUCACCACUUUCUGUUCCUGCCUCCGGAUAAGUACUACUUGUGUGACCAGGCAUUUCCACACACACGUUAUUUCAUGGCUCCAUACUGCGGACAAAGAUAUUGGAUAUUAGAUUUCCGCCGUAAACGACCAAGAACUAGGGAGGAGAGGUUUAACCAAGCCCAUGCAAAAUUACGGAAUAUAAUCGAAUAUGCUUUUGGGGUCUCAAAAGCACGAUUUCAAAUUCUAAAGUUAAUGGCACCGUUCCCCUUUCUAGUUCAAUGAGAUGUGGUUAUUGCAUGUUUUGCCCUCCAUAACUAUUUAAGGAGGGAGAGUAUCGGGGAUGGACUGUUCACAAAA
Non-coding RNA from Nelumbo nucifera (sacred lotus), 681 nucleotides. Lineage: Eukaryota; Viridiplantae; Streptophyta; Magnoliopsida; Proteales; Nelumbonaceae. The record is from RefSeq and is a predicted model, not a curated record.